GGGAGGAUUGAUUGAGCCCGGGUAGUAGAGGCUGCAGUGAGCUAUGAUCACACCACUGCACUCCAGCCUGAGUGACAGAGCGAGACCCUGUCUCA
MicroRNA precursor from Mandrillus leucophaeus (drill), 95 nucleotides. The record is from Ensembl. NCBI's taxonomy places the organism in Eukaryota, Metazoa, Chordata, Mammalia, Primates, Cercopithecidae.